This 495-nucleotide ribosomal RNA is filed under the name uncultured bacterium. Its description in RNAcentral is "partial 16S ribosomal RNA". It matches the Rfam family "Bacterial small subunit ribosomal RNA", at positions 29 to 506 of the family's 1533-position model. The record is from RNAcentral.
AUGAACGCUGGCGGCGUGCCUAAUACAUGCAAGUCGAGCGAACGGACGAGAAGCUUGCUUCUCUGAUGUUAGCGGCGGACGGGUGAGUAACACGUGGAUAACCUACCUAUAAGACUGGGAUAACUUCGGGAAACCGGAGCUAAUACCGGAUAAUAUUUUGAACCGCAUGGUUCAAAAGUGAAAGACGGUCUUGCUGUCACUUAUAGAUGGAUCCGCGCUGCAUUAGCUAGUUGGUAAGGUAACGGCUUACCAAGGCAACGAUGCAUAGCCGACCUGAGAGGGGGUCCGCCCACGCAGAAACUGAGCCGCGACCCAGGCCCCUAGGGGAGGCAGAGAUGGGGAAUCUUCCGAAAUGGGGGAAAGCCUGACGGAGCAACGCCGGGUGGGGGAUGAAGGUCUUCGGAUGGUAAAACUCUGUUAUUAGGGAAAAACAAAUGUGUAAGUAACGGUGCACAUCUGGGCGGUACCUAAAAAGAAAGCCCCGGCUAACUACGG